CGGAGGGCGUGUCUUAUGUAAAUAUAGCAGCGCGGGGGCUGAUGGUUCGACUGCUGCAGCCUAAAUAACAAUGGGAUAUCCGGGGCUACGGGAAGCAGUGCGGGCGGUUGACGGAGGUUCAUGGUGCUGUGUGCGUGGAAGGCGUCGGGGGGCUCAAGAGUGAGGAAGAGAAAAAAAUACUGAUUUGUUUCUAAGAAAACAUAUUUAUUAAAGGGAAGAAUUCCACUAGAGUAAUAGGCAUUCUAAAGGAACUAAUUGUGGUGUUGAUAAGUAUUGGGUUCAUACCAGAUACUGGGAAGAUAAGCUUCUUGUUGUUGCAGUAUCAAAUACCGAGAAGUACUGACCAGAAUCCUCGGGACAACAAUCAACAAGACUCACAGGCCAGCUUAGUUGUCAUCUCUGACC
This is a long non-coding RNA of Mustela lutreola (European mink), 405 nucleotides long. RefSeq lists it as uncharacterized. The transcript is spliced from 3 exons. NCBI's taxonomy places the organism in Eukaryota, Metazoa, Chordata, Mammalia, Carnivora, Mustelidae. The record is from RefSeq and is a predicted model, not a curated record.